This 526-nucleotide long non-coding RNA is filed under the name Equus caballus (horse). RNAcentral describes it as "lncRNA (ENSECAG00000058147.1)". The record is from RNAcentral. Lineage: Eukaryota; Metazoa; Chordata; Mammalia; Perissodactyla; Equidae.
CUGGUGAUUCUGAUUAAGCCGUUUUAGAGCGGAGCCCCUGAAUCUCCUUGACUCCAUCCUACCCGGAAGAGCAGAUAUCCCGUAAGUGCCAAGUUUCUUCCGCUGUCUGCAGCUGACCGUGAUGUCUUCUAGCUGGCAGCCCACCCUCUCCCACAGACCCCCAGCCAAAUCCCCAAGGCCUCAGUGUCACCCGAGUUCCAGGAUGGCAGAAGCCAAGGACUCUGCCAUACCAUCUUUUUUGGCUUCCAGUUUCUCUGCUGCCAAGAAACGUGAAUUGGAGAUUGUAAAAUGAAGAUGUGCUGAUGUGCCACUCCCAACAAUGACAGUGGACCUGCCGUCUUGCUCCCAGCUCCCCGUCUAUACUUCCAUCUUCUCUGUUGGAAGGUACAGGAACCAUCGAUUUGCUCAGCUAUUUGUUAAAAAUGAAAGAAUGACUUUAUUCCGGUGAGCUGGAAGCCAAGAGCCCUGGCAUGCCAUGAAGAAUUUCAGCAUCUUUUAGGCCCUAGGAAGUACGAGCCAAGACCCA